GGUUCGACGCCGGAGAGGGAGCCUGAGAAACGGCUACCACAUCCAAGGACGGCAGCAGGCGCGCAAAUUACCCAAUCCAGAAUUUGGGAGGUAGUGACGGGAAAUACUGGGGUGGCUCCUAGCGAGCCUCGCCCGGAAUGGACGUAGCCCAAAAACAUCGGUGAUGAGCAACUGGAGGGCAAGUCUGGUGCCAGCAGCCGCGGUAAUUCCAGCUCCAGUAGUGUAUAUCAACAUUGUUGCGCUUAAAACGCUCCUAGUUGAAAUGGGGGGCGCCGCCAGGGCCUCUGAUUUGAGGUGGCUGGUUUUGGGCAGGGCGGCGGCGGCCAGUAACUGGAGGUCUGCAGCCCUAUCCGGCGCCCCAGAAUCAUGGGCCUCGGUUCGAGCCUUUGUUGGUUGGGACCGGGCGCCGAUGGGGUGUGCCUUGAAUAAACCAUGGUGCUCAAAGCAAGCGGGAAUGCUGGGGUGUGUUAGCAUGGAACGAACUUUUAGACUGGAGCCGGGUCUGCGGGUCGUCUUUUUGUGGAGCGAUCCGGGGAGCCGGCUGGUUAGCGUUGGUGAACCAGGUCUCAGUGGUUAAGAGGGACGCCUGGGGGCACUAGUACUCUGUGGCGAGAGGUGAAAUUCUUAGACCCGCAGAAGACUGGCUGGGGCGAAAGCAUUUGCCAAGAGUGUUUUCAUUAAUCAAGAACGAAGGUCAGAGGAUCGAAGACGAUCAGAUACCGUCCUAGUUUUGACAGCAAACGAUGCCGGCCUAGCUGCGGGCCUGCUACUCCGAGCGGAGCAGAGCGGCCUCGCUGCUUGAGGGAAACCUAGCUUUCGGGCUGCGGGGAGAAUAUCGCUGCAAGGCUGAAAUUUAAAGAAAUUGACGGAGAGGCACCACCAGGAGUGGAGCCUGCGGCUCAAUUUGACUCAACACGGGGAAACUGACCGGGUCCAGACAUUGGUAGGAUUGACAGAGUGGUGGAUCUUUCAUGAUUCAGUGAAUGGUGGUGCAUGGCCGUUCUUAGUUGGUGGAGUGAUCUGUCAGGUCUAUUCCGGUAACGAGCGAGACCGCGGCCCCGUUUUGUGUUGCGGGGCGGAGAGGAGGCGGAGCUUUCGGCCAGUGUUCAUUUAUGGAUUUGGGAAGAAAGCCCGCGGCCGACUCGGCCCCUAAAACUUCGGGGGACUACCGGUUGAAAGCCGGGGUAAGCGCGGCAAUAACAGGUCUGUGAUGCCCUUCGAUGUCCUGGGCUGCACGCGGGCUACAAUGGCGCCAGUAGAGAGUUGCUGGCCCGAGGGGGCCGGCAAAGCUGAAAAUGGGCGCCGUGACGGGGAUUGAGCCUUGGAAUUGUGGCUCAUGAAAGAGGAAUUCCUCGUAAGGGCCGGUCAUCAGCCGGCCCUGAAUACGUCUCUGCCUCUUGUACACACCGCCCGUCGCUACUACCGAUUGAAUUGUCCUCAAAGGGGGUUGGAGCGGAGAGCCUCGGCCUCAAAAGCUGGGUUUUUGCAA
This 1489-nucleotide ribosomal RNA is filed under the name Ceratomyxa pantherini. Its description in RNAcentral is "bacterial SSU rRNA". It matches the Rfam family "Eukaryotic small subunit ribosomal RNA", at positions 374 to 1752 of the family's 1831-position model. The record is from RNAcentral. Lineage: Eukaryota; Metazoa; Cnidaria; Myxozoa; Bivalvulida; Ceratomyxidae.